RNAcentral lists this long non-coding RNA (1034 nucleotides) under Vulpes vulpes (red fox). RNAcentral describes it as "lncRNA (ENSVVUG00000027996.1)". The record is from RNAcentral. Lineage: Eukaryota; Metazoa; Chordata; Mammalia; Carnivora; Canidae.
AAAAGCAGAGGCAGGGAGUCCCCAAGAUCAGCUGGAGUCGGGGGAGGUGGAGAGAGCAGAGAAUUGUAAGGAGAAGGGACACGGGAAUUUUCCUUGACUUUCUGCAUGUCUUCUGACGGAGCCCCCAGAAUCCGGGAGAGAGGGAAGCAAAUGCCCUGUUUAUCCAUAUUGUCAGCAUGAGGAAGCCGCAGAGAUGCACAGCAACUGCUAAGGACAAGUGUAGCAUCCUAAAAAUCACAGAAAUGUGACGGAAGAGAGCUUGGCUUUGGAGCCGGAAGGCAUGGAUUCAAAGCCCCAAAUCUGUUGAUCACCAUCUGUAGGACUUUGGACAAUGACUCAGCCUCUCUUAGAACUAGAUUUCCUAAUGGUGAAAUGGCUCCAGCUGUCACCAGAAACACACUGUUCAAGACUGUUUAUGACUCUUCUGAACCCGAUUGUUGAGAACAGAGACUCCACACCAGGCCUCUGACUCUGCCUCGGCCAUCCCCAAACCUUUGUUCGAGAAAUUCGACGUGAGCUCUCGAGCCUGCCCUGGGAGUGCUGUCACUUGCGCUCCACAACUUUUAAUGCAGAGAAAAUGGCUGUCUUGGGGCCAUCCUGCAGGGCAAGUUCACUCCCUGAGGUGGUUUCCUCACGUGUGAUGAGGACAGCGCAGCAGCCCGAGAGGGCUAUUGAGAGACAAAGCCAGAGGUGGCGCGAGCUGGCCCGACCAGGACCGCGACACCAUGAUGGUCUCACACCAGGAGAGAAGACAGGGGUUCUGGGUCAACCUGCUUUCCUUUCAGCACAAACCUCCCCUGCCUUUCACUGGGUUUUCAACUGGAAGGAAGCCUUUGUACCCAGAGUCACCGACAGAGAACCAGCUUCUGCGGUGGGCCGCUCACUUGAGCGGAAAGACUACGAAGGUUCAGUUUCCCCCACCUCGGAGCUUCCCCAGCUCUUUAAGCCCCAUUACGUUUUAAUUUAAUUGUCGCCACUUUGUGCUGGAAUUGUGUUUUAUGAGCACAUUACCAGACGUUGAAGGCUUGUAAAAC